RNAcentral lists this ribosomal RNA (580 nucleotides) under uncultured bacterium. RNAcentral describes it as "partial 16S ribosomal RNA". It matches the Rfam family "Bacterial small subunit ribosomal RNA", at positions 355 to 932 of the family's 1533-position model. The record is from RNAcentral.
UGGGGAAUUUUGGACAAUGGGCGAAAGCCUGAUCCAGCAAUGCCGCGUGUGUGAAGAAGGCCUUCGGGUUGUAAAGCACUUUUGUCCGGAAAGAAAUCCUUGGUUCUAAUACAGUCGGGGGAUGACGGUACCGGAAGAAUAAGCACCGGCUAACUACGUGCCAGCAGCCGCGGUAAUACGUAGGGUGCAAGCGUUAAUCGGAAUUACUGGGCGUAAAGCGUGCGCAGGCGGUUUGCUAAGACCGAUGUGAAAUCCCCGGGCUCAACCUGGGAACUGCAUUGGUGACUGGCAGGCUAGAGUAUGGCAGAGGGGGGUAGAAUUCCACGUGUAGCAGUGAAAUGCGUAGAGAUGUGGAGGAAUACCGAUGGCGAAGGCAGCCCCCUGGGCCAAUACUGACGCUCAUGCACGAAAGCGUGGGGAGCAAACAGGAUUAGAUACCCUGGUAGUCCACGCCCUAAAACGAUGUCAACUAGUUGUUGGGGAUUCAUUUCCUUAGUAACGUAGCUAACGCGUGAAGUUGACCGCCUGGGGAGUACGGUCGCAAGAUUAAAACUCAAAUGAAUUGACGGGGUCAUAGCUG